GGGAUGAUGCAUGGGCAUAUAGCCAGUGCAGUGUCGCAGGGAAAGCCGUUAAGUCUGCCGCUGGGGAAGUACGUACGCAAGUAUGAAACUUAAGGAAAUUGGCGGGGGAGCACCACAAGGGGUGAAGCCUGCGGUUCAAUUGGAGUCAACGCCAGAAAUCUUACCCGGAGAGACAGCAGAAUGAAGGUCAAGCUGAAGACUUUACCAGACAAGCUGAGAGGUGGUGCAUGGCCGUCGCCAGCUCGUGCCGUGAGAUGUCCUGUUAAGUCAGGUAACGAGCGAGAUCCUCGCCACUAGUUGCUAUCAUUAUUCUCAGGAAUAGUGGGGCGAAUUAGUGGGACUGCCGUUGUUAAAACGGAGGAAGGAGGGGGCUACGGCAGGUCAGUAUGCCCCGAAACUCUGGGGCCACACGCGGGCUGCAAUGGUAGCGACAAUGAGCUCCAAACUCGAAAGAGAGUGGCAAUCUCUAAACGCUACCACAGUUAUGACUGAGGGCUGUAACUCGCCCUCACGAAUAUGGAAUCCCUAGUAACCGCGUGUCAUUACCGCGCGGUGAAUACGUCCCUGCUCCUUGCACACACCGCCCGUCGUUUCAUCGAAGUUUGCUUUUAGCGAGGUGAUGUUUAAUUGACAUUAUCGAACUUGAGGUAAGUGACGAGGGAAAAGUCGUAACAAGGUGACCGUAGGGGAACCUGCGGUCG
This 701-nucleotide ribosomal RNA is filed under the name uncultured marine microorganism HF770_12-21-03. Its description in RNAcentral is "bacterial SSU rRNA". It matches the Rfam family "Archaeal small subunit ribosomal RNA", at positions 768 to 1467 of the family's 1478-position model. The record is from RNAcentral.